This 539-nucleotide unclassified non-coding RNA is filed under the name Athalia rosae (coleseed sawfly). Its description in RNAcentral is "misc RNA ENSAEAG00005011470.1". Lineage: Eukaryota; Metazoa; Arthropoda; Insecta; Hymenoptera; Athaliidae. The record is from RNAcentral.
AGACUCGCUUUCGUCGCUCUCCACAUCUCCCGGUGUCUGCCUCGCCGACUGACCUGCCUGGGGUUUCCUCUGUUGACGUUUCCGCGAUGAAACACUCUUCAUACUCUGAGAUGUCACAAUUAAACUUGUAGAAAAUAAUGGGAUAAUAAAUCAACUCGGUAUUCGGAUACCGAAAAACGUUAUCCUCUUACCUUCAAGUACUGAUACUGCGAAAGCAUGAAACAAUGAAGAAUGAAACACAUUAUUGGCUUACCAACGACGUCAUUUAGUCACGGCACAAAAAUAGCAUCCUCAGUUUCAGUGGGGGACUGGCGCAUCCCUCUGUCAUUGCGUGUUCGUGAUACAUGAAGCUGUGAAGAAGGGUGUUGUUGGGGUGAAGUCCGGCCGCCGAUGCUUCUGCCGCACCUCCCAGGCCUCCCAGGUUUGCCCCUCCACCCUCCGAAAGCUGGAACGUAGCGUACGGCGAGAUGUCUUCCGCUGUCUCUGUAACCCAUCAGAGGUAUCGCCUACCUUUUAAAUUGUGUUAUGGGAAGAAUAAU